GAGAGAGUAAGACAUAACCCUGAAAGAUUGCUAGUCCUUCAAGACCAUGGUUUAAAUCCAUGGCUCACUCG
This 71-nucleotide transfer RNA is filed under the name Stemonidium hypomelas. Its description in RNAcentral is "tRNA-Ser". Lineage: Eukaryota; Metazoa; Chordata; Actinopteri; Anguilliformes; Serrivomeridae. RNAcentral also lists the same sequence under 2 other names. The record is from RNAcentral.